UGUCUAACCGAAGGUGGGGUUGUGAGGCUGACACCACUUAGAUUGACCUUAGUUUAAUAGCGCUUUGUUGUCUCUCUUGCCACAGGAAGGCGCCAGGGUUGUCCUACUUUAAGCCUUCGGGUGCCUUUAUUGAGGGGUACCUGAAAAAUCUUAAAAAAAGGCUUAGCGCCCACCUCACCCCUCCACCCCCAGGCCAACAAACUUGCUCAUGCUGUUUAUUCCAGCAUAAAGCUGAAAUGAAAGGCCAUUUGACACUAAUUUACCCGGAACAGAUCUGACUUGGUAUGUAAACGUAGAAAAAGCUUGUUCACCUGUUGUCCUCAUUUUGUCCCCUGGUGAAUUCAACUGGAAGCUCCUUCUAGUCUGAAGAGUACCAUCUGAAAGAACUAGUGGUUCCCAAUCCCCACAUUUAAAACGUUUCCACUUGCCAGUUAAACUUCUUGAAGUCUGUUGUUCGUUUGGAACUUAUUUCUUGUCACUGAUUUUAAAGUUGCAUCUGGAAAAGACUAAAGGCUUCAGUGCCCUCCCCACCCCCCCUACCAGAAGUGAACAAAAAGCAUUUUACCUAAAGCACAGCAAAAAGGACUGCUUCAAUCACAAACAUGAAUGCUUAAAGCUGCAGAAAUUUCCUCAACACUCAGC
This 642-nucleotide long non-coding RNA is filed under the name Sus scrofa (pig). RNAcentral describes it as "lncRNA (ENSSSCG00025076025.1)". The record is from RNAcentral. Lineage: Eukaryota; Metazoa; Chordata; Mammalia; Artiodactyla; Suidae.